This 305-nucleotide ribosomal RNA is filed under the name uncultured bacterium. Its description in RNAcentral is "bacterial SSU rRNA". It matches the Rfam family "Bacterial small subunit ribosomal RNA", at positions 338 to 660 of the family's 1533-position model. The record is from RNAcentral.
CCUACGGGGCGCAGCAGUGGGGGAUAUUGCACAAUGGGGGGAACCCUGAUGCAGCGACGCCGCGUGGGUGAAGAAGCGCCUCGGCGCGUAAAGCCCUGUCAGCAGGGAAGAAAAUGACGGUACCUGAAGAAGAAGCCCCGGCUAGCUACGUGCCAGCAGCCGCGGUAAUACGUAGGGGGCAAGCGUUAUCCGGAUUUACUGGGUGUAAAGGGGGCGCAGACGGCGAUGCAAGCCAGGAGUGAAAGCCCGGGGCCCAACCCCGGGACUGCUCUUGGAACUGUUUUUCUUGAGUACUGGAGAGGCAG